Hyaena hyaena (striped hyena) is the source of this 509-nucleotide long non-coding RNA. RefSeq lists it as uncharacterized. Lineage: Eukaryota; Metazoa; Chordata; Mammalia; Carnivora; Hyaenidae. The record is from RefSeq and is a predicted model, not a curated record. The transcript has 2 exons.
GUGCCUGGCUCUGCCUCACUGGCCCCUCACUGGCUCUCCCUUUGCCACCUGCCUGUGGGCCCAUUUUCUCUAGAGCUGCCUGGGAUUGUGCCAUUGUGGUGACGGGCCUCAGGGACCGCCCACUCCCAAAGCACUUGUUGUCCCCAGAUGCAGCUCCAAUUCCCCCUGCUUCUAGCUGGACCUGGAGCACAUGCAGGGCCUGCAGGAGCUAUAAACACCACCUAAUUCAACGAGCUCACGGAAUUUGGCUUCCUCGAGUGCCCUUCAUGACUUUGGUUCUUGGUGUGAAAAUGGACCUGCAUUGCUCUUUUUGGGUGCGUUGAAGCAUGGUUCACUGAGUCCAGAAGCAGGUCCCUGUGGCAGUGACCAUGUCUAUGGAAGUCUGGAGCCCUGUCCACAAAGCCAUCCGGGCGGAGAUGUGAAUUCUUCUGACAGCUCCCACCCUGGCAUCCGCUUGCUGACCCAGUCGGCUAAACUUUAUUGCCAGAAAUGGAAACAUGUGCCACCUA